GGAUAGCUCAGUGGUAGAGCAUCAGACUUUGGCUCUGACGGCGGGGGUUCGAAUCCCCCUCCA
This 63-nucleotide transfer RNA is filed under the name Nitratireductor mangrovi. RNAcentral describes it as "Nitratireductor sp. SY7 tRNA-Gln". It matches the Rfam family "tRNA", at positions 5 to 66 of the family's 71-position model. From Rfam's summary of the family: Transfer RNA (tRNA) molecules are approximately 80 nucleotides in length. Their secondary structure includes four short double-helical elements and three loops (D, anti-codon, and T loops). The record is from RNAcentral. Lineage: Bacteria; Pseudomonadati; Pseudomonadota; Alphaproteobacteria; Hyphomicrobiales; Phyllobacteriaceae.